This 502-nucleotide unclassified non-coding RNA is filed under the name Hevea brasiliensis (rubber tree). Lineage: Eukaryota; Viridiplantae; Streptophyta; Magnoliopsida; Malpighiales; Euphorbiaceae. The record is from RNAcentral.
GGGCUUGUACUAUAAAUAUAAUAAUAUUUGAUCGUGGAGAACCCCACUGAACCAUAAAAACCACAAAACUACCAAAAUAUUGAACAGCUACAAGUCAGAAUCUAAUUAUCCUAUAAGCAUCAGGUGAAACGCGAUACAGUUUAAUCAGCCACAUCUUAUUCUAUCAGCAAAGAGCAAAUCCACCAUGAGAUAUCUUUCAGUGACGUGCCUUAGCUUCAGCCUUCUUUUGAGACUUGGCCUUUGCCUUGAGAUACUUGAGCUUAACGCUUCCAUAAGCGAGUCCAAAGGUAAAUGCUGAUGCGCGCGCCACCAGAGCAAGAGUGCUGGUUCCUGAGUAUGGUGCUGGAAGAGGUGCCAUUGUCGACUACAAAUUGAGGAAAAUUGGGAUCUGAGAAAGAAGCUGCUAGAUCUCCUUUACAAGCCCUAGAAUUCACAAACACUCAGCCCGUCAAUAUCAGUUUUGUGAUGACGAGAAUCGGGGAAGCUGCAACCAAAUGUGCGC